Molecule: long non-coding RNA, 831 nt
Filed under: Phocoena sinus (vaquita)
Lineage: Eukaryota; Metazoa; Chordata; Mammalia; Artiodactyla; Phocoenidae
Description: lncRNA (ENSPSNG00000000859.1)
Source: RNAcentral
AUAAAUUUCAGAGAGGAAAACAACAAUUAUUAUGAGUCAUUUUCAGAAAGAGAAAAAAAGCAAAUGGCACCAUAAAAUAUAUCGUGCACAAAAUGGAAAAUGGAAAAUACAUAUUUCAGCUCCCAUUUCAUUCAGUGAUGUCUCCAACUAAACUGGAUUUAAGACCUUGUUGUUGGAAAUUAAAUUCUUCCCUGUGCUUUGGUCUUGGCUGUUUGAAACAAGACUGUCUAUACUAGCCUCUCCAGUGAUGCCCACAUUGUCAAGGAAGGACUGGAAUUUGACUCUUGAGAAGAACCACUUACCUACGGGGAGAAAUUCUGCACCAUCCAAAAGUCUGCACCAUCCCUUUCAUUAACCAAUGCAGAGAAGUGAACAUCACAUAUGUGAGGCACAGCAUCCUUUAGGAAGAGCACAGUUAUUCCUGGUUGUGAAGCCGGCCAGCCUUUCCCCCAUGGGUCCAGCACAUCAUUUCAAACCGGAGUAAAAACUCCCUUUGGGGCACAUGCCAUGAGAUAAACAGGGUGCAUCUUCCUAAGUGCUUCCAUCGGACUUGAUGAGAGUCAAGGGACCUCACCAUGGCAUCGGCGCCCUCCCAUGGCACUGCUCUCCAGUAUUCCUCCUUAAGAACCCUGCACUCCAGUCACACUGGAUUACUUGUGGUGUCCCCAACACACCAGGCACGUGUAAUGCCUCUGUUCACCCUUUAUCUCCACCUUGUGUCCUGACCAAGCUUCAUCUUUCAAAGCCCAGCUCACAUGGCACCUUUGCUUAGUGGGAUUGGUGAUUCUUUUAUCUCUAUUCUCCCAUCCCCUCCAUUAAAGCACAUUUCAU